AAUACGGGAAUUAUAUCAUGCAGUGUGUGCUUGGAGGAGUUUCAGACUCUGAUAACAUAUCUUUCUGAACCUGUGGACGUUUACAGAGACUGGAUUGAUGCCUGCGAAGCAGCCAAUCAGUAGUCAUGUUUACCUAGCUCACACCUUCAGUUUAACCUCACCCUGGGUUCACCUAAUGUAGCCAAACAGUUUGUUUUCUCUGAGUUGUGUCACAUUCUUAGUUCCACAUUUGCUGACUAGGUCACAUUCCUCUGGGUCAGAGUGACGCCACACGGACAGUGACUGGUCUCCAUCACGGUUCACAGUGUAGAUGUAAACAUGUUCAAUGAUUGUAUUUUGUAAGUCAAGAUUUAAUUUGUAUUUCCUGUUAUGGACCAAACUGUCAUGGAGUUUUCUCACCAUUUUGUAUUUUUUAAAUGUUUUUUUUCUUUAAACAAAAAUAUAAUCAGUCAUUUCCUUUUCUCUCUAAUAUUCUGAAGUUUGAGAAUGGACGUUUUUUAAUUUUUUUUUUUUAGGUUUUGUCAAGUUUCGACCUUUAUCAAUAAAGCACUGACAAACUUUUCCAAUUUUUUUUUAACCCUGUGGAUCCACAAUCACAUACUUGCUUUCACACCACUGUGAUAUAUUUUGAAUUUUGUACCUUUUAGGUGCUGACAGUGAUUAAAACAAUAAAAACACAGUCACCAUUUUCAAGUGUUUUUAUUGCACACAUGCCAUUUUAGUGAAAGGCAGAGGAGGGGAUAGAUUAGCCUAAAUAUUGGGACAAAAAAAACACAUUUUAGGGUGAAACCGUUCUUUACAAUAAGUCUGUGCUAUUGUGGUGAUAGGACGAAAAUAUUUUCUUUAAGGCACAAUCCGAAAAA
Girardinichthys multiradiatus is the source of this 863-nucleotide long non-coding RNA. RefSeq lists it as uncharacterized. The record is from RefSeq and is a predicted model, not a curated record. Lineage: Eukaryota; Metazoa; Chordata; Actinopteri; Cyprinodontiformes; Goodeidae. The transcript has 2 exons.